UACGAAGGGGGCUAGCGUUGUUCGGAAUUACUGGGCGUAAAGCGCGCGCAGGCGGUCUUCCAAGUCAGUGGUGAAAGCCCGGAGCUCAACUCCGGAACUGCCAUUGAAACUGUUAGACUUGAGGACGAGAGAGGGUAGUGGAAUUCCCGGUGUAGUGGUGAAAUGCGCAGAUAUCAGGAGGAACACCGGUGGCGAAGGCGGCGUCCUGGACCAACACUGACACUGAGGAGCGAAAGCCAGGGGAGCAAACGGG
RNAcentral lists this ribosomal RNA (253 nucleotides) under uncultured bacterium. RNAcentral describes it as "partial 16S ribosomal RNA". It matches the Rfam family "Bacterial small subunit ribosomal RNA", at positions 524 to 776 of the family's 1533-position model. The record is from RNAcentral.